GGUAGAGCCUUUUGGGAGCUCAGUCUGAUGCAGGGUAAUCUGACCUAAACUUUAUCUCCUGUCCUGAGCCCUUUGCAGCUUUCAAAGAUUCUCAAGCUCUACAUGAUUCUGCAGACAUUUUCAUACAAUAGCUGGUUUUCCCUUCUUUUUGGGACUCUGCAGAUUCUUUAUUUAUCAUCUAAGGAAAGUGUAUAUAAAAUCACAUCCAGCAUUUCAUUUGUUCCCAUUGAGGGGUUUAUUCACAUUAAUUUGUCAUACUGCUGGAGACAGAACUCCUAUUUGGUCAUUUAUUUCAAACCAAACAUUCUUUACCUUUUUUGUCUCUGAAAAUCUUUAAGAAUAACAUUUGUAAAUGCAUAAAACCAAGUACACAGGAUUACAAAGGAAAUCAAUUAUAUUGAAAAAGUUUACAACCUUUUAAAAGACAAAUUUACGAGAUAGUAAUAAAUGUGUUUCUUCACGCUGUAAGUAACAAGACUUACUGGUAGGUCUACAGCUAUUGUAAUUUCAAAGUAGUGAAAGUAAAUGACAUUUUGAGACAAUUGUAACAACUAUAAUGUGAUAAUAUAUCUGAUUUCUAUAUGUGGCAGAAUCCCGGCUAAGAGCUAUUUCCAUCACAGUUUGUUGUCUACAUUUAUCAUUGAAGAAAAGGCUAAAUUUGAGUUAGGGGUUAGUAGAAACAAAAAGGUUCAUUUUUUUUCCCAUUCAAGUUCAUGAGACCCCUUAUUUAAAGGGAUUUCCAUUCCAGUUCUUGUAAUAUAUCCAGAGUGAAAGUUUCCAGUUAUUCUUAGGAUAAAGAUGAAAACCCUUGAUGUGUUUAUGAGACCUGGCCCCCUCCCUACCUCUUAAUAUUCCUGUUUUCAAUCUCCCUUGCUCUGCACUUCAGCAAACUCUGCUAGACUGUGAACCCCAGGAAAAGCUCACACCUGUUUCUGCUCACUAUAAAACUUUCAGAGCAUAUUAUAGAGUCUGUCAGAGUAAGUGAGCUUUAAUACGUGUCGAAUGGAUCCUGACUACACAAAGGAAGGAUCUAGUCUCAUGUUUACAUAUGGAUCUAGUCUCAUUUUUACAUAUGAAGAAGAUGAUGGCCAGAGAGGUUGAAUGCCAGUCAGCUCCUGGGAUACAAGGUGAGUUAGGAACAGAGCAGGGAUUACGACUCAGAUGUGGACAUCUUUCCCACACCACAUUAUUCCUCUCCCUUGUCCCCACCACCCGUUAGCUUAUUUAUGCCCCACCACAGCAGGGUCUCACCUUCUCCCUCCAAAGUAUGCCUCUUGGGCCCGGAGUUUCUUGAGCCUAUACUUGGUUUGGCAACAGCAAACUAACAUUUUCUCCCACUCAACCACUGCCCUUGCAGCUAGCUGCCUGUGAACAGGAGUGCAUUGUGACUACAGGUGCAAUUUCAAUCCUGUGAGGUGUGAAGCUUGUUUGUUUUCGGAGACAGGGUCUCAUUCUGUCACACAGGCUGAAGUGCAGUGGUGCGAUCAUCGUUCACUGCUGGCUCCAACUCCUGGGCUCAAGCCAUCCUCCCACCUCAGCCUCCUGAGCAGCUGAGACUACAGGUGUGUGCCACCAUGCCCAGAUAAUUUAUUUGUUUGUAGAGACAGGAUCUCGCUAUGUCGACCAGGCUGGUCUUGAACUCCUGGUCUCAAGCGAUCCUCCUGCCUCAACCUCCAAAGUACUGGGAUCACAGGUGUGAGCCAUAGUGCCCGGCAGUAGUUCAUUGAAGCUUGGCCAGAGACCCUUGGCCAUGAGCUUUUCAAAUCAUAUCACCUGCUCCCCUAAGGGCCCAUUUUUAACAAGCAGCACUGUAUUCUUCUGUGGAUCAGAAUUACUGACCAGCAUUUUGUAAACCAGACAUUUUAUAUAAAGCUGAUUCUUCAACAGAGGACAAAAACCCCUACUGUAAUAUACUGACCAAGAGCCACAGAUUAAAGACAGAAAGACGGCGUGUGAACAGGCAUUGCUAUCCCUACCGCCAUCUUUUUAAAGAGAAGACUGAGUCCCGGGGAACCCAUGCUGGGGACGUCAAGCCUAGAAGAGCAGAGUCCAAGGACUGGACUGACUGCUCGUCUUCAAACAUCUGAAGGGCUGUCAAGAGGAAAGUCUUUGUCUUGUUCUUGGAGAGCCCCAAGGGCACAACCAGGCCCCAUGAGUGGCUGCUCAGUGAAGCCAAUUUUUGCUCAGAAUUCUGAUAAUGGAAUGGGAGCUUCACAAAGCUAAGUGCUUCCAGCAGGGCGAGUGAACAGUUGUAAAAACUGUUUAUAGAAAUUCCUGUGUUUGAAGAUGAAAGUUUCUUAAAGUCUGAGCCAUGGGAUACCCAAUGGUGAUUUUCAAGUACAACAGCAACUCACUGCUCCAUCCCUGCUGAGGCUUUAGGAAGAGAUCUAGUCCUCGAUUCUUCUGAAACUUUCACUAAAAUAAAACUAGUGUACAAACGUAAGGAGUGGUGGCAAGGCUAGAUACAGUACGAUCCACCGCCCCCUUCAGGCUACAGACAAGUAAACGAAGGCUCUGGGAAGGCAGCUGACUUGCCUAUAAACCAGGCCGAUGCUUUUCUAGUAGUUUCCUGAUCUACCCUGCUUCUCCUGUCAGGUUACUGCAGCAAACAGGGAAACAGCACUCCAACAAGUGCCAUGCCGAAGCAGAAAGACAACCUUUAAAACUGGAAGUCCAUGACUGGUGAGUUUCAAUAAUUUAUUAAAAUAGCAUAUUUAACCAUGGUUAACCAAGAAUAUGUUAACUUUGUGCCCCCCAACCUGCCCCCGCCCCAGAUACGCAGCAAAACACAGUAGUGAUUUCAAAUAUCCUUGAUCAUGACCAACAGGAAUAUUUCAAAGUCAAGUUUGCAACUCAAAAGUAGACCUUGGAAAAACUCUGAAUUAAAAGAGAAACAUAAAGCUCUCACACAGAAUUCUUUUAUCUGCCCUAAAAUCAA
RNAcentral lists this long non-coding RNA (2938 nucleotides) under Homo sapiens (human). RNAcentral describes it as "HSALNT0304768". The record is from RNAcentral. Lineage: Eukaryota; Metazoa; Chordata; Mammalia; Primates; Hominidae.